ACAAAAAGCGUGUGUUUCUCUGGUCCCGGGCCCUGCUGCAGGCGAGAGCCACAUGAUGCACAGUGGGGCUGGGAAUGAGGGAGGGGAAGCUGCGGAGUCUGCAAACCCCCUCUCGUUUACAGGGGAUCCCUCCCUCCAGGUCUCUGCUUCCAGUGCUGAGACACCAGAGAAACCAGUGCCAGGGGAGUUGAGGGAUGUGGAGAAGGUCUAACUGCCCAAACCAUCGAGCCCAGGUACCAAAUGGGUGGAUGGGGAAGUGAUGCCAGCCCUGGGGUCAGGCCACCAGCGCUCCUCAUGCCUUGCCCAUGGCCACCCUGGCAGUUCAUGGUGAAACUGGGAUGAUUCAAGGGGAAAAACCCAUCUCAGAGUGUUCCUGGUCCAGAGCAACGGCUGUGGAUGAACCUGUCUCCUUCCCUGUGAACCGAGCCCUCCAAGCCUGAGAACGGGAUGCUUGAUGCACAUCAAGGGACAGAGACAACAACUGUUGGCUGUGCUCAAUAGUGCUUUGUUCUUGGCCCAGGAAGCAAUGAAAAUCCGCCUUCUUUGAAGCCUGAGGAGGCCUUUUUAUUAUAUCCAGGGCUCCUGGAAAAGGAAACUCCAAGUGCUUUCCCAUAACGUGAUAAAAAGCUCUCCUGGCUGAGACCUUGGCAACUCCUUACACGUGAGAGCAGUGAGUCAGUGCAGCAUGAGGCUGAGCUCAGUGCUUGCCCAGCCACUGGAAAUUACUGAUUCUUGACUAUCGGCAGCAUCUGAAGUCAUUAGUUAAUUUAAACCUGGGAGUUCACACGUUGGCUUAUCAGAGCCAUCUCCUUUCCCCGCUAAGCGCUUGCUCGCUGCAUCCCCGGCUGCUGCUAGAUCCGAUCUGCGCCCGCUUUGAAGCCGUGAUGGGCUGCCAGCAGGCGAGGUGCUGCCUGUCUCCCUGCUGCUUCACUGCCUGCAUGCAGCAGUUUGACCGAAUGCUGGAAGGAGAAGGCGGCUCUGAUGCUGCUGCAGCUUCCCCGGCUGCCAGGGAAGUAAUAGAAUCUUAGAAUCAUCUGGGUUGGAAAAGAUCAUCUGUAAGAUCAUCGAGUCAGUACCUCCACAGGUCACAUCUUUCCUGCUGCCAGGUGACCUCCUGUGCCUGCUCCCUGUCCCUCGCAGCCCUGCUGCCCGGCGGUCACCUCGCUGAUCCAUGAGUGGAUACCCACGUCUGAUGAUUUUGCUCCAGGUGUACGAGCUGCACCCAUGAAAGGUGAGCCACGUCUUAUCUCCUGGCUGUUCCUGCCUGCUCCCAGCCUGAGAAUCCUGGCUGUGGGGUGUUUGCAGUGCUUCCCCAGCACUGUGUGUUGUGGUGGAUUUGGGGUGUCAGCUCCAAGGUGAGGGGCAGCCUGGGGCAGGUCUCUGGGGUGCAGGUUGGAAGGGCCAGCACAGACACGGCCCUAUCUGUUGGUCAUUGCUAAAAGGUCAACCUUAAAUAAUGGGAAGAAUAAAAACAAGGCUGCCUGGAGGAAAGGAGAGAGC
RNAcentral lists this long non-coding RNA (1500 nucleotides) under Cyanistes caeruleus (blue tit). RNAcentral's name for it is "lncRNA (ENSCCEG00000011601.1)". Lineage: Eukaryota; Metazoa; Chordata; Aves; Passeriformes; Paridae. The record is from RNAcentral.